This 435-nucleotide ribosomal RNA is filed under the name uncultured Lachnospiraceae bacterium. RNAcentral describes it as "bacterial SSU rRNA". It matches the Rfam family "Bacterial small subunit ribosomal RNA", at positions 341 to 792 of the family's 1533-position model. The record is from RNAcentral. Lineage: Bacteria; Bacillati; Bacillota; Clostridia; Lachnospirales; Lachnospiraceae.
ACGGGAGGCAGCAGUGGGGAGUAUUGCACAAUGGGCGAAAGCCUGAUGCAGCGACGCCGCGUGAGCGAAGAAGUAUUUCGGUAUGUAAAGCUCUAUCAGCAGGGGAGAUAAUGACGGUACCUGACUAAGAAGCACCGGCUAAAUACGUGCCAGCAGCCGCGGUAAUACGUAUGGUGCAAGCGUUAUCCGGAUUUACUGGGUGUAAAGGGAGUGUAGGUGGUUUGGCAAGCCAGAUGUGAAAACCCGGGGCUCAACCCCGCGGACUGCAUUUGGAACUGUUAAACUUGAGUGCAGGAGAGGAAAGUGGAAUUCCUAGUGUAGCGGUGAAAUGCGUAGAUAUUAGGAGGAACACCAGUGGCGAAGGCGGCUUUCUGGACUGUAACUGACACUGAGGCUCGAAAGCGUGGGGAGCAAACAGGAUUAGAUACCCUGGUA